GCCUACGGCCAUACCACCCUGAAAGCGCCCGAUCUCGUCUGAUCUCGGAAGCUAAGCCGGCUCGGGCCUGGUUAGUACCUGGAUGGGAGACCGCCUGGGAAUACCAGGUGUUGUAGGCU
This 119-nucleotide ribosomal RNA is filed under the name Xenopus tropicalis (tropical clawed frog). The record is from RNAcentral. Lineage: Eukaryota; Metazoa; Chordata; Amphibia; Anura; Pipidae.